GCUCUGAUACCACUAUUAGAUUCCAAUCAUGUAGCAAAAAAUAAUUUUUAAAAUUUUUUAAAAUACUCAAAUCAAUAGCUAUAUCAAAUAAAACUAUCGAGUCGAACCUAAAACCCUAGAAUCACCUUGUCGAACACGAUCAAAGCAAGUUCAAGCAUAUAAAGAGAUAGAAUAUUAUACUUUAACUAAAAUAAAAAAGUGGCACAUUAGUGUUCUCCAUAAGAUCUCAAGAUUGAAGUCCUCCAACGGUGAUCCACACGAAAGUUGGCCAAGAUCCUUCCCAACCAGUGUGCAGCUGUAGCCUUCUCUUUUCAAGAACACUACCAGCUUCAAACUUGUGUCAUGAUCGCACCAAAGCCCAGUUACUUUUGAUCUUACCCCCAAAAUGACAAUAAGAAGACACUCUUCAGAUGUAAUACAACUUAGGAUUUAAUUUUUAUCUCUAACACAUAGAAAAACCAAAUCCUAGGGCAUUCUAGCAAUACUUGCUAAAAAUCUCACCACCCUUGUAGCAAGAUUUGCCACUCAAAUUAUCCUCUUUUUUUUAUUAAUUUUUUUUCAAAUUUUUUCAUGUUAUUUCUAUGUCUCUUCUCUCUAGUUCAUAUAAAAAUCUUAGCUAGAAGCUAUCUGGG
RNAcentral lists this long non-coding RNA (632 nucleotides) under Elaeis guineensis (African oil palm). Its description in RNAcentral is "long non-coding RNA (EGUI_LNC082158)". The record is from RNAcentral. Lineage: Eukaryota; Viridiplantae; Streptophyta; Magnoliopsida; Arecales; Arecaceae.